CACGUGUGUGAGCUCAGCCGG
This 21-nucleotide microRNA is filed under the name Bos taurus (domestic cattle). RNAcentral's name for it is "bta-miR-2408". The record is from miRBase by way of RNAcentral. Lineage: Eukaryota; Metazoa; Chordata; Mammalia; Artiodactyla; Bovidae.